AGUGAACGCUGGCGGUAGGCCUAACACAUGCAAGUCGAACGGCAGCACAGUAAGAGCUUGCUCUUACGGGUGGCGAGUGGCGGACGGGUGAGGAAUACAUCGGAAUCUACUUUUUCGUGGGGGAUAAUGUAGGGAAACUUACGCUAAUACCGCAUACGACCUACGGGUGAAAGCAGGGGAUCUUCGGACCUUGCGCGAUUGAAUGAGCCGAUGUCGGAUUAGCUAGUUGGCGGGGUAAAUGCCCACCAAGGCGACGAUCCGUAGCUGGUCUGAGAGGAUGAUCAGCCACACUGGAACUGAGACACGGUCCAGACUCCUACGGGAGGCGGCAGUGGGGAAUAUUGGACAAUGGGCGCAAGCCUGAUCCAGCCAUACCGCGUGGGUGAAGAAGGCCUUCGGGUUGUAAAGCCCUUUUGUUGGGAAAGAAAAGCAGCAGGUUAAUACCCCGCUGUUCUGACGGUACCCAAAGAAUAAGCACCGGCUAACUUCGUG
Molecule: ribosomal RNA, 492 nt
Filed under: uncultured bacterium
Lineage: Bacteria
Description: partial 16S ribosomal RNA
Rfam family: Bacterial small subunit ribosomal RNA
Source: RNAcentral